CAACAGGGAUUGCCCUAGUAACGGCGAGUGAAGCGGCAACAGCUCAAAUUUGAAAUCUGGCUUCGGCCCGAGUUGUAAUUUGUAGAGGAAGCUUUAGGCGCGGCACCUUCUGAGUCCCCUGGAACGGGGCGCCAUAGAGGGUGAGAGCCCCGUAUAGUUGGAUGCCUAGCCUGUGUAAAGCUCCUUCGACGAGUCGAGUAGUUUGGGAAUGCUGCUCAAAAUGGGAGGUAAAUUUCUUCUAAAGCUAAAUAUUGGCCAGAGACCGAUAGCGCACAAGUAGAGUGAUCGAAAGAUGAAAAGCACUUUGAAAAGAGGGUUAAAUAGCACGUGAAAUUGUUGAAAGGGAAGCGCUUGUGACCAGACUUGCGCCGGGCGGAUCAUCCGGUGUUCUCACCGGUGCACUCCGCCCGGCUCAGGCCAGCAUCGGUUCUCGUGGGGGGAUAAAGGCCCUGGGAACGUAGCUCCUCCGGGAGUGUUAUAGCCCAGGGUGUAAUGCCCUCGCGGGGACCGAGGUUCGCGCAUCUGCAAGGAUGCUGGCGUAAUGGUCAUCAGCGACCCGUCUUGAAACACGGACCAAGGAGUCAAGGUUUUGCGCGAGUGUUUGGGUGUUAAACCCGCACGCGUAAUGAAAGUGAACGUAGGUGAGAGCUUCGGCGCAUCAUCGACCGAUCCUGAUGUAUUCGGAUGGAUUUGAGUAGGAGCGUUAAGCCUUGGACCCGAAAGAUGGUGAACUAUGCUUGGAUAGGGUGAAGCCAGAGGAAACUCUGGUGGAGGCUCGCAGCGGUUCUGACGUGCAAAUCGAUCGUCAAAUCUGAGCAUGGGGCGAA
RNAcentral lists this ribosomal RNA (827 nucleotides) under Collariella robusta. RNAcentral's name for it is "LSU rRNA". It matches the Rfam family "Eukaryotic large subunit ribosomal RNA", at positions 66 to 927 of the family's 3401-position model. The record is from RNAcentral. Lineage: Eukaryota; Fungi; Ascomycota; Sordariomycetes; Sordariales; Chaetomiaceae.